AUGGAUUGAAGCUCCAUGUGUCGGCAGUUCGACUCUGUCCUGAACCAUUUCUUAGCCGGCCUAGCUCAAUUGGU
Molecule: transfer RNA, 74 nt
Filed under: Staphylococcus aureus
Lineage: Bacteria; Bacillati; Bacillota; Bacilli; Caryophanales; Staphylococcaceae
Description: tRNA-Met-CAT
Source: RNAcentral